UACGGAGGAUCCGAGCGUUAUCCGGAUUUAUUGGAUUUAAAGGGUGCGCAGGCGGAAGAUUAAGUCGGUGGUGAAAUUUUGCAGCUCAACUGUAAAAGUGCCAUUGAUACUGGUUUUCUUGAGUGUGGAUGAAGUAGGCGGAAUUUGUGGUGUAGCGGUGAAAUGCAUAGAUAUCACGAGGAACUCCGAUUGCGCAGGCAGCUUACUAAACCAUAACUGACGCUCAGGCACGAAGGCGUGGGGAUCAAACAGGAUUAGA
RNAcentral lists this ribosomal RNA (259 nucleotides) under uncultured prokaryote. Its description in RNAcentral is "partial 16S ribosomal RNA". It matches the Rfam family "Bacterial small subunit ribosomal RNA", at positions 524 to 782 of the family's 1533-position model. The record is from RNAcentral.